Molecule: long non-coding RNA, 1671 nt
Organism: Cyprinodon tularosa
Lineage: Eukaryota; Metazoa; Chordata; Actinopteri; Cyprinodontiformes; Cyprinodontidae
Exons: 6
Source: RefSeq, a predicted model, not a curated record
GGAGAACAGGUUGAAGAAUGGAGAUCUGAUUCUGUUCUGGAUAGUAGUGACAGAAAGAGAGGAAAAGCAGGAAGACGGCUGACAGUGAAGCUCUCUGCAGAUAAUCACACACGAAGCAGUUAUGGAUCCUGAUGCUUAAAUCUUUAUAUGUUGGAAAUGAUGGCAGCUUCUAUUUGAAUGGGUGGGAGAGCUGCACAGAACAAAAACACCCAAACAACAAGAAAAGAAACAGAAAAUGAAUCAAACUACUACUUUUCCAUCAACUCCAAAUAUAAAACCUGAAUUCCCCGGAUACUAUGCUCUCAUCCCACUGAUAGUGCUCACAUUGAGCGGAUGUAUAGUGGCAUUGGUGUUUUAUAUCAGAAAGAGAAGAAGAAUGGAUGAGUUGCGGCACCGUCUGAUUCCGCUGUACACCUACGACCCGGCAGAAGCACAGGAAGACUGGGGAGAUUAUGACAACGAUACGGAGGAAGAUCUGGCUGAACCUUUGUGCAAGGAGUCACAGCUGUCGUUAACCUCUGACUACGGAUCAUAAUUUCAAGAAGGAGGAGCUCGAUUAAGAAACUGAAUCUAGACUAAUUUCAGUGCAAGGCACCGACUGGCAAUAAUGGAACAAUCAAAACCAACCUGAUGCAGCUUGAAUUGUUCUGUUCAACAAUGCAGUGAUUUGUUGUAUUGGCCACCAGGUGGCACUGUAGACAUUUGCCUUAAUAAUGUUAUUUUUUUGCUUGCAAUGCCGCACAAAAUGUUUUCUUUCACAGCACUGAAUAUGAUUUAGUUUUACAGGAAUAAACUGAAAGAUUAAAGCUGGUUUGAAAAUUUUGUUUAGCAACCAAUAGUUACCUGCAAUGGGUUUUAAGACACACCUGUUUGUGAUUGGAUAUCAGUCAUAUUUUAAUUAAUUAGGGGGGGAGAGGCUUCCAUUUACAGGAUGAUGGAGCUGCAGAGAAAAAGAAGAAUGGACAUCCAGCCAUCCAUCCUUAGCUGGAACCUGACCUCUACUCUUUUGCUUUCUUCUCUGCUCCUUCCUGCUUUAACUGCAGCCAGCCUCCUUUGUAACUUCUGUCCCCUGCAGCACAAAAGCAAGUCCUGCACAAAUAUCACCAGCGAGUGUCUGCCCCACCAGCACUGCUCCAGUUCCCGGGGCCGGUAUGGCUCAGUCCACGUCCUGUCCUCUCAGGGCUGCUUGGAUGCCAAACUCUGCGACUCCCAUGAAAUGAUCUCCUAUCGGGGUGUGGAAUACAACAUCAGUCACACCUGCUGCUGCAGAGACGGAUGCAACCAUGUGCCACAGCCCAGCACCAACCUGCUGGAGCUGCUUGGGAUGAACAAAGAUAAUCCAGAGUAUAACACCAACACUCGAAUAAAGCGGGAGCUUUGGGACUCAUGUGUAAACUAUACAAACUAUUUCCUUUAAAUCAUAGUUUAAGGAUUAAGACUGAGGGGAGGCCUGUUAACCACAGGAACUUACUUUAGCGUCUAAAAGCCGACUAACAUUUAGUCAGAUGUUUGAAUGCUUUGUAACUUAAUUUUAAAUUGUGAAAACAUUGGAGAAAAUGUAUGUUGCGGUUUCUGAUUAUAUUCCAGAGAGAAGAGGUUGGAUUUGUCAUGCUUCCUCCUGGUAUACUGUGGCCACUGGCCCAUGCUGAUGAAUAAAGGCAUUGUAAUUAA